This 77-nucleotide transfer RNA is filed under the name Lentisphaerota bacterium. Its description in RNAcentral is "Lentisphaerae bacterium (anaerobic digester metagenome) tRNA-His". It matches the Rfam family "tRNA". Rfam says of the family: Transfer RNA (tRNA) molecules are approximately 80 nucleotides in length. RNAcentral also lists the same sequence under 2 other names. The record is from RNAcentral. Lineage: Bacteria; Pseudomonadati; Lentisphaerota.
GUGGUUGUAGCUCAGUUGGUUAGAGCGCCUGGUUGUGGCCCAGGAGGUCGGGGGUUCAAGUCCCCUCAUCCACCCCA